GACGAACGCUGGCGGCGUGCCUAAUACAUGCAAGUAGAACGCUGAAGAGAGGAGCUUGCUCUUCUUGGAUGAGUUGCGAACGGGUGAGUAACGCGUAGGUAACCUGCCUUGUAGCGGGGGAUAACUAUUGGAAACGAUAGCUAAUACCGCAUAACAAUGGAUGACACAUGUCAUUUAUUUGAAAGGGGCAAUUGCUCCACUACAAGAUGGACCUGCGUUGUAUUAGCUAGUAGGUGAGGUAAUGGCUCACCUAGGCGACGAUACAUAGCCGACCUGAGAGGGUGAGCGGCCACACUGGGACGGAGACACGGCCCAGACUCCUACGGGAGGCAGCAGUAGGGAAUCUUCGGCAAUGGGGGCAACCCUGACCGAGCAACGCCGCGUGAGUGAAGAAGGUUUUCGGAUCGUAAAGCUCUGUUGUAAGUCAAGAACGGGUGUGAGAGUGGAAAGUUCACACUGUGACGGUAGCUUACCAGAAAGGGACGGCUAACUACGUG
Molecule: ribosomal RNA, 497 nt
Filed under: uncultured bacterium
Lineage: Bacteria
Description: partial 16S ribosomal RNA
Rfam family: Bacterial small subunit ribosomal RNA
Source: RNAcentral